CCUACGGGUGGCAGCAGUGGGGAAUAUUGGACAAUGGGCGAAAGCCUGAUCCAGCCACGCCGCGUGUGUGAAGAAGGCCUUCGGGUUGUAAAGCACUUUCAGUGGGGAAGAAAGCCUUGGGGCUAAUACCCUCGAGGAAGGACAUCACCCACAGAAGAAGCACCGGCUAACUCCGUGCCAGCAGCCGCGGUAAUACGGAGGGUGCGAGCGUUAAUCGGAAUUACUGGGCGUAAAGCGCGCGUAGGCGGUCUGAUAAGCCGGUUGUGAAAGCCCCGGGCUCAACCUGGGAACGGCAUCCGGAACUGUCAGGCUAGAGUGCAGGAGAGGAAGGUAGAAUUCCCGGUGUAGCGGUGAAAUGCGUAGAGAUCGGGAGGAAUACCAGUGGCGAAGGCGGCCUUCUGGACUGACACUGACGCUGAGGUGCGAAAGCGUGGGUAGCAAACAGGAUUAGAUACCCCAGUAGUC
RNAcentral lists this ribosomal RNA (465 nucleotides) under Vreelandella stevensii. RNAcentral describes it as "partial 16S ribosomal RNA". It matches the Rfam family "Bacterial small subunit ribosomal RNA", at positions 338 to 795 of the family's 1533-position model. Lineage: Bacteria; Pseudomonadati; Pseudomonadota; Gammaproteobacteria; Oceanospirillales; Halomonadaceae. The record is from RNAcentral.